AGAGUUUGAUCAUGGCUCAGGAUGAACGCUAGCGGCAGGCUUAACACAUGCAAGUCGAGGGGUAUAGGUUUUCGGACCUAGAGACCGGCGCACGGGUGCGUAACGCGUAUGCAAUCUACCUUUUACAGAGGGAUAGCCCAGAGAAAUUUGGAUUAAUACCUCAUAGUAUUAUUGAAUGGCAUCAUUUAAUAAUUAAAGUCACAACGGUAAAAGAUGAGCAUGCGUCCCAUUAGCUUGUUGGUAAGGUAACGGCUUACCAAGGCAACGAUGGGUAGGGGUCCUGAGAGGGAGAUCCCCCACACUGGUACUGAGACACGGACCAGACUCCUACGGGAGGCAGCAGUGAGGAAUAUUGGUCAAUGGGCGCAAGCCUGAACCAGCCAUGCCGCGUGCAGGAUGAAGCAUCUAUGGUGUGUAAACUGCUUUUGUACGAGAAGAAACACUCCUUCGUGAAGGAGCUUGACGGUAUCGUAAGAAUAAGGACCGGCUAACUCCGUGCCAGCAGCCGCGGUAAUACGGAGGGUCCAAGCGUUAUCCGGAAUCAUUGGGUUUAAAGGGUCCGUAGGCGGUUUUGUAAGUCAGUGGUGAAAGCCCAUCGCUCAACGGUGGAACGGCCAUUGAUACUGCAAGACUUGAAUUAUUGGGAAGCAACUAGAAUAUGUAGUGUAGCGGUGAAAUGCUUAGAGAUUACAUGGAAUACCAAUUGCGAAGGCAGGUUGCUACCAAUACAUUGACGCUGAUGGACGAAAGCGUGGGGAGCGAACAGGAUUAGAUACCCUAGUAGUCC
Molecule: ribosomal RNA, 787 nt
Filed under: uncultured bacterium
Lineage: Bacteria
Description: bacterial SSU rRNA
Rfam family: Bacterial small subunit ribosomal RNA
Source: RNAcentral